Molecule: small RNA, 679 nt
Filed under: Pongo abelii (Sumatran orangutan)
Lineage: Eukaryota; Metazoa; Chordata; Mammalia; Primates; Hominidae
Description: processed transcript
Source: RNAcentral
GUAAUAUAUUUUAUUGAGCUUUUCUAAGCUCUAAAGAAUGAAAUUAGGAGAUCUGUUGGUGCUCUUAAUUAGGAAUCUGGGGGAGAUGUCUUAAAGGCUGUGUCACCUGGAUAGUCCACGGAAAGGAAAACUCAUGAUCUUUAUGGAAGAGCUAUUUAUAAUAAUGAAAUACUGCUUAGUAUGUGCUAAGCCCAUCAUAAGCCUUAUUUUGCUAAUUCUUUCCAGUAAUCCCACAGAGUAUUGAUGAGGAAACUGAAGUUUGGAGCGAUCACAUCAUUUUCCCAGGAAUUCCUAGAGGACCUGUGCAACAACCUCUUGAGGAUCGAAUCUUCACUCCUGCUGUCUCAGCAGUCUACAGCACGUCACUGAAUGUAUAUCAGUAAUCUCCAGACUCGCAUACAACCUUGUCCUGGUGGAAAGCUCUGACUGUGGGUUUUGAACAUAAGAAAGAGAAUGUGAGUGUCUGUUAAAAGCCAUCACUCCUCAGAAGGUCAGUUGUCAAGUGUUCCUGCUUCUGACCACAGGGACAGCAAUUGGCCUGUAAUAUAUGUAUUCCUUGAAAAAACAGUCAUUCCUAACUGAUCAAGGUUUUGCUAUUGAACUGGGAAAGGACCUUGGAAUCAUAAUACAGUUCUACAUGAUUCUAUUAGCAGUGAAAGAAAUAAAAAUCUUUUUACUA